RNAcentral lists this transfer RNA (66 nucleotides) under Xanthochlorus tibetensis. RNAcentral describes it as "tRNA-Pro". Lineage: Eukaryota; Metazoa; Arthropoda; Insecta; Diptera; Dolichopodidae. The record is from RNAcentral.
CAAGAGGUAGUUUAUUUUAAAAUAUUAAUUUUGGAGAUUAAUGAAAAAGAAGUUCUUUUCUCUUGA